Molecule: ribosomal RNA, 384 nt
Filed under: uncultured bacterium
Lineage: Bacteria
Description: bacterial SSU rRNA
Rfam family: Bacterial small subunit ribosomal RNA
Source: RNAcentral
AUUGAACGCUGGCGGCAUGCCUUACACAUGCAAGUCGAGCGGCAGCGCGGGGGCAACCCUGGCGGCGAGCGGCGGACGGGUGAGUAAUGCAUCGGAACGUGUCCUCUUGUGGGGGAUAACCAGUCGAAAGACUGGCUAAUACCGCAUGAGCUCGUAAGAGGAAAGCAGGGGACCCGCAAGGGCCUUGCGCGAGAGGAGCGGCCGAUGCCCGAUUAGCUAGUUGGCGGGGUAAAAGCCCACCAAGGCGACGAUCGGUAGCUGGUCUGAGAGGACGACCAGCCACACUGGGACUGAGACACGGCCCAGACUCCUACGGGAGGCAGCAGUGGGAAUUUUGGACAAUGGGGAACCUGAUCCAGCCAUGCCGCGUGUGUGAAGAAGGCC